This is a non-coding RNA of Tachysurus fulvidraco (yellow catfish), 1672 nucleotides long. The record is from the annotation of a RefSeq genome assembly. NCBI's taxonomy places the organism in Eukaryota, Metazoa, Chordata, Actinopteri, Siluriformes, Bagridae.
UAUUUAUCCCUAAUGAGGAACUGUAAGAUGAAUUCAUUAUACUGGUUCUGUCAAAUAGUUGGCUUCAUUCAUUCAUUGGGGAAAAACCUGGAAGAAAUCAUUACUUCUUCUCAAACAUUGUGAAUGCAACAUGAAAAAACAUCACAAACUGUAUUAUUUCUUGGUCAAGACCCACACCAUCUUUAGUAAAAGCAAUGCCCAAGACCAAGAGAAGUCCAAGUACAAAUACUAAUAAACCUGACACAAGUCCAAGUGAAUACAGAAGACGUCUCGUAACUCAUAGGACUGAACCAGUGUAAUUAGCUCACAAGUGUAAAGUGAGUGAAUGGACUGAGAAUACAAAAAUACAUUUAUACUGAAUCUUUAUAUUUUUAUGUUAACAUUAAUAUAAACACUAACAUAUUUCACUCAGUAACACAUUUGAACGUGCUCGUGGCUGCAGCAGGACUUUCACACCUUCGUUGUGUUUUAACAUAAACAGCUCCAUCAUGCAGUGUAAAGCUUGAGAAACAAAACUAACACGUUCACCAGCACACACUUCCUUUAUUUCAGGGACUACAGCAGUCUGAUGGUCAUUACACAAUAAUUCUGUCAUUUAUACACAUUAUUCUUUCUGUGCUGUAGUUAGAGAGUCUAGUUUAAUGACCUGUGUAUGUUUUAGUGCUCCAAACUGAGGAAGUGUGUGUUUCUGACUAAAACUGGUCCAUGUGACCAUCAGAAUACAUGUUACAGCUAAUAGACCAAUCAAAUCAGUCCACAGCUUCAAAUCAUCCAAUCAGGUGUGAGUCUGGACCUGGUUUUGUACUGAACACACAAGUUCAUUAGAUCACUUGGUGUGAACAGGAACGAUGAUCAGACUCUUUGUCGCUCUUUGUGCUCUUUUUUCUCUCUUCACAGCUGUGAAAACUUCUGACAUCAAGGAGAUUGACGUGAUAACAGUAAAGCUUGAAGAAGAUGUAACUAUGGAGUGUAACACUAGCGGUAUCAUAAAGAAAGAUGAUGUAGUUUGGUACAGACAGAUUUCAGGAAAAUUACCUCAGUUUAUUGCAAAACCAUACAAGAGCGAAUUGGGCUACAAAUUUGUUGAAGGAUUUAAUGAUGCUCGUUUCAGUGUUAGUGUAAAUGACAAUACAUUUGAUCUCAAUAUUAAAAAAACAAGAGAAGAUGAUGAUGGAGAAUAUUUCUGUGGAGAAAUGCAAGGAAUUCUAGUGAUGUUCACAUCUGGAACACGUCUGCAAUUUAAAGAUAAAGAGACGACACACCGUAAUACAUCUGGAACUACACACGGAGUUUCAGCCAUCUGCAAUGAAACAAGUGAGAGCUGUACUGCUAAAAUGCGUGUGUUCUUCUGGCUCUCCAUUUCAAGAAUCGGAGUUCUCAUUGUUACAGUUAUUAUAAUUACAAUAUGGUACAAGGUUUUAAAGUCAAGAUCUUAAACUUGAUAUAAUUGUCUUUUCACAGUGGUGUGUGUGUGUGUGUGUGUGUGUGUGUGUGUGUGUGUGUGUGUGUGUGUGUGUGUGUGUGUGUGUGUGUGUGAGAAUGUUCAUUUACACUGAUCUAGAAAACUGGAUUAAAAACUAAUGUCUGAACUGAUAUUGUUCAGGAUUUGCUUUGAUUCUGCUGAACCUGAAGUGCUUCAUGUACAAUGCAAUAAAAUUAGACUUUAAUAAGA